CCUACGGGAGGCAGCAGUGGGGAAUAUUGCACAAUGGGGGAAACCCUGAUGCAGCGACGCCGCGUGAGUGAAGAAGUAAUUCGUUAUGUAAAGCUCUAUCAGCAGGGAAGAAAAUGACGGUACCUGAGUAAGAAGCCGCGGCUAACUACGUGACAGCAUCCGCGGCAACAGGGAGGGGGCAGGCGUUAUCCGGAUUUACCGGGUGUAAAGGGAGCGUAGACGGCAGUGCAAGUGUGGAGUGAAAGGCGGGGGCUCAACCCCCGGACUGCUCUGGAAACUGUACGGCUGGAGUGCAGGAGAGGUAGGUGGAAUGCCUGGUGUAGCGGUGAAAUGCGUAGAUAUU
RNAcentral lists this ribosomal RNA (343 nucleotides) under uncultured bacterium. RNAcentral's name for it is "partial 16S ribosomal RNA". It matches the Rfam family "Bacterial small subunit ribosomal RNA", at positions 338 to 698 of the family's 1533-position model. The record is from RNAcentral.